GGAAGAGGGUGAGGGGGUAUUUAUACCCCUUCACAACAGAACUCUCCGUUAUAAAAAGAUUCCGGAAAUUUCCAGAACUUUGUCUGGAGAUUUUCGGAAACUCCGGAAUUUUCCAAAAAAAACUUCUCUAAAGAUUCGGACCUCUGGACAUUUCCGAAAAAUCUUCCGGAAAAAUCCGAACCUCCGGAGGCUCUCCGAAAACUCUUCACUUCCGAAAAAUUCCGGAAGUCUCUGGUUAG
RNAcentral lists this long non-coding RNA (239 nucleotides) under Setaria viridis. RNAcentral describes it as "long non-coding RNA (SVIR_LNC000071)". Lineage: Eukaryota; Viridiplantae; Streptophyta; Magnoliopsida; Poales; Poaceae. The record is from RNAcentral.